UGGGGAAUAUUGCACAAUGGGCGCAAGCCUGAUGCAGCCAUGCCGCGUGUAUGAAGAAGGCCUUCGGGUUGUAAAGUACUUUCAGCGGGGAGGAAGGGAGUAAAGUUAAUACCUUUGCUCAUUGACGUUACCCGCAGAAGAAGCACCGGCUAACUCCGUGCCAGCAGCCGCGGUAAUACGGAGGGUGCAAGCGUUAAUCGGAAUUACUGGGCGUAAAGCGCACGCAGGCGGUUGAUUGAGUCAGAUGUGAAAUCCCCGGGCUUAACCCGGGAAUUGCAUCUGAUACUGGUCAGCUAGAGUCUUGUAGAGGGGGGUAGAAUUCCAUGUGUAGUGGUGAAAUGCGUAGAGAUGUGGAGGAAUACCGGUGGCGAAGGCGGCCCCCUGGACAAAGACUGACGCUCAGGUGCGAAAGCGUGGGGAGCAAACAGG
RNAcentral lists this ribosomal RNA (429 nucleotides) under Chloroflexota bacterium. RNAcentral's name for it is "Chloroflexi bacterium partial 16S ribosomal RNA". It matches the Rfam family "Bacterial small subunit ribosomal RNA", at positions 355 to 776 of the family's 1533-position model. The record is from RNAcentral. Lineage: Bacteria; Bacillati; Chloroflexota.